Molecule: ribosomal RNA, 641 nt
Filed under: uncultured bacterium
Lineage: Bacteria
Description: bacterial SSU rRNA
Rfam family: Bacterial small subunit ribosomal RNA
Source: RNAcentral
UAUUAAAGAAUUUCGGUUAUCGAUGGGGAUGCGUUCCAUUAGUUAGUUGGCGGGGUAACGGCCCACCAAGACGACGAUGGAUAGGGGUUCUGAGAGGAAGGUCCCCCACAUUGGAACUGAGACACGGUCCAAACUCCUACGGGAGGCAGCAGUGAGGAAUAUUGGUCAAUGGACGAGAGUCUGAACCAGCCAAGUAGCGUGAAGGAUGACUGCCCUAUGGGUUGUAAACUUCUUUUAUAUGGGAAUAAAACAGGGUAUGUAUACCCUCUUGUAUGUACCAUAUGAAUAAGGAUCGGCUAACUCCGUGCCAGCAGCCGCGGUAAUACGGAGGAUCCGAGCGUUAUCCGGAUUUAUUGGGUUUAAAGGGAGCGUAGGUGGAUUGUUAAGUCAGUUGUGAAAGUUUGCGGCUCAACCGUAAAAUUGCAGUUGAAACUGGCAGUCUUGAGUACAGUAGAGGUGGGCGGAAUUCGUGGUGUAGCGGUGAAAUGCUUAGAUAUCACGAAGAACUCCGAUUGCGAAGGCAGCUCACUGGACUGCAACUGACGCUGAUGCUCGAAAGUGUGGGUAUCAAACAGGAUUAGAUACCCUGGUAGUCCACACAGUAAACGAUGAAUACUCGCUGUUUGCGAUAUACAGUAAGC